UACGGACACACUAACGUAGAAUAUAGUGUUUUAAUGCCGCCGCUGUGUGCGUCGCGAAGUAAUAAAAGAAGAAGCCGACUCCAACAUAGUUGGGAAAAAGGCCAGGCCGAUGUUGGGUAAUAAAACUAUAUGUGCAUUUCUAGAUACAGCUUAAUAUUGUAUUGCUUCAGAUUUUGUCUUGGAAAAAUAAAAUAAUGGUAAUUUAAAA
Long non-coding RNA from Trichoplusia ni (cabbage looper), 208 nucleotides. RefSeq lists it as uncharacterized. The record is from RefSeq and is a predicted model, not a curated record. NCBI's taxonomy places the organism in Eukaryota, Metazoa, Arthropoda, Insecta, Lepidoptera, Noctuidae. The transcript is spliced from 2 exons.